This is a long non-coding RNA of Corvus hawaiiensis (hawaiian crow), 2359 nucleotides long. RefSeq lists it as uncharacterized. The record is from RefSeq and is a predicted model, not a curated record. Lineage: Eukaryota; Metazoa; Chordata; Aves; Passeriformes; Corvidae. The transcript is spliced from 3 exons.
UCAUCUUUGACAGAAAACAAAAGUAUAAUUCUGAACUUUAUAAAUGCCAGGGUUGUGGCAUGUAUUGCUCUGGGUGGACAAAGACAUGACAAAAUGAUCUGACAUCAAAUGCUUUUGGAGGGCAUAAAAGUGGCACUUGGCCAUGCAGAUGAUGGGCCCCUGUGAUGUAUGCUGUGACCUAAUUUGUCUUUGUUCCAAGCAGUACAUCACUACCACUGGAUCCAGCAGGCCAUCCAAAACAGUGGCAGCCACAAGCACAAUUUCUAAGUGUUCCUCUAGUGAGGGACUUACACCCGCUUAAAACCCCAUCCAAGGAGGAGCCACAUGAGUUCUCUCAGCCCAUCAAGCAAAGAACCGGCCCAAGCAGCUUCCAGCCUGAGCAUCCCUUAUCCAUGGUAGCCAAAUCCUGUGUUUCUUUUCUGAAGUGGUCUCUGCAUAGCAACAGUAGAUGGAGGCUUAACACCCCCAGGUGGUGCUUGUGACUCUGUGUUGUUGCUAACACAUAUUUGCCUACCAUCCCCGGGGCUCAGAAUUGCUCAGAGGCAGCAGCAGUGCUGAGACAGAUAUAGACAGACUGAAAAACAAAAUUUUACUGGGCUAUUCCACGUUGAAGAGUUCACCAAGCCCUGCAUACAGAGAUGGUGUGGGAUAUAUCCGGUCAUAGGAAUUCUCACAGAACAUGGAAAAUUGACAUUCCAUGAAUCCUGGCAGUCCACGUGGUCAACAAGCUGAGUGCACAGUCCCUCACAACACAGCAUGUGUGCAGCUUGGCUGGGUAUAGAACUUCAUCCAAGAUAAAAAAACAGCAAUGCCUGAAAUAAACACAAGUUUUCCACCUUUACAGAAGCCAAGGUUCUGCAGUGGAGGAGAGAGUGCCAGCUACCCACUCUGGAAGAGUAGAGAGUUGACAAUGACUGGUAUUUUUUCUCUUCAGUGUAGUUGUAAGAACUGCAUGCAUACAUCCUGUGGGAAUGUGAAUCCUGUCUUUUGUUUCCUGCAAUGGGGGAGUUUCCUGCAAUGGGCAAAGACCUAUCAAUAUUUUCAGUGUUGCUGAAGAUUAUGUGGGGACACAAGCUGUGGAGAAUGGUUUUGAAAAUCUUGAAAACAGGCUCACCUAGGAUUUGCUGAAGCUCAUCUGUACUAGAUGCCUCCUGAAUAUGCAUGGCUGCCCAGAAUGCCAGUUCAUGCUGAAUGGCAGGUGCUAACUCUGAGACAGGCAUCUGGCAUGCAGAGAGUUUUUGAUUAUCUGCUGCUUGUUCCAAAUACAGACCAUAACAUGGUGCCACAGGGAAUGUUAGUCUUCAACAUGCAAAGCAUCCUAAGUUAUGAAGUUAUUGAAAAAAAAAUUUUAUAUAAGUCUAGAAGUUCUUGCAAGGUAUUGAGAUGUGAUAUCUGGAGUUGGUUUAUCCGGCUCAGGCAGGCUCAGGAGAGGCCUGAGAUGCUGUCAUGAUUUCUUGAGCUGUUGCACAAGGAGCAGGUAGAGUGGCAGCCAGCAAGCAAAGCAAAAUACCAGGAGGUGGGGCGUGUUUGUAGUGUAGGCUGCACAAAGGUUACGGAUGUGUGCUAGGCUUAUUCUGAGCAACAUACUGUGGUUAGAGCAGACAAUUGCUGAGCGUUGUGCAUAAUGCACGACAGGCAGGGCUGUGGUAUGCAGAUAAAAACAGCGUGGGAUGGAUUUUGCACUAAAAUAUGCUCUGUGAGUGUGAAGAAAGGAUGAAACCAGUCUGCUAGGAAAGCCCUAGCUUUGACCUGUGUGCCAAAAGCUAGUCUGCGCCAGAUGGCCUGGAUGAGAAUCACAAAAAAAGGGAGGUUAAAUUGGGUUCUUAUAAAUCCCCGUGAGCUGCCCCUUCAUGCCACCGGUAAUUUGCUUUUUGUUAGAAUUUCUCUGUGGAAGAAAUCUUCCUAAUUGCACCUAUCUUCAGAAGUGGAAAGAAAAUGCAAGUUUUGACAGAUAAUUUCCCCUUACAGGAUGUUCCUUCUGAGUAUGGUAUACCUAAAAUUCCACCUGCAGUUUCUCCACGGGCAGUGAGUGCCAGACUUUUCCCCCUUGAUGUCCUCUGUCCCUAGUCCUCAGCUCUGAGUAGACACCUGCUAGCUGAAGCUUCAGCCAUCAGCUUUACCAAGUAUUCACCGUCUCUGAGGCAUCAAGGGCUGAUGCUGUUUGCGUGGACUCACGCUCCUCAUGGGUGUUUGGAGACUUCAUUUUUCUACAUGUAACCCCACUUUAUACAUUUUUGCAUGUAAAUAUUUAUGUUUUUAUCUCAGAGUUUAAAAUUUUUUUCCUGUUUUAUUCCCUCUGGUAUUCUGUACCCACACUCCUUUUAAUCAAAUAAAACAUACCAAUUCAGAAUGCCCUCAA